Molecule: ribosomal RNA, 408 nt
Filed under: uncultured bacterium
Lineage: Bacteria
Description: bacterial SSU rRNA
Rfam family: Bacterial small subunit ribosomal RNA
Source: RNAcentral
GAGUUUGAUCCUGGCUCAGAUUGAACGCUGGCGGCAUGCCUUACACAUGCAAGUCGAACGGCAGCACGGGAGCAAUCCUGGUGGCGAGGUGGCGAACGGGUGAGUAAUACAUCGGAACGUGCCCAGUAGUGGGGGGAUAACCCGACGAAAGCCGGACUAAUACCGCAUACGGACCUACGGGUGAAAGCAGGGGAUCGCAAGACCUUGCGCUAUCGGAGCGGCCGAUGUCAGAUUAGCUUGUUGGCGGGGUAAAAGCCCACCAAGGCGACGAUCUGUAGCUGGUCUGAGAGGACGACCAGCCACACUGGGACUGAGACACGGCCCAGACUCCUACGGGAGGCAGCAGUGGGGAAUUUUGGACAAUGGGCGCAAGCCUGAUCCAGCCAUGCCGCGUGCGGGAAGAAGGCC